Long non-coding RNA from Trichoplusia ni (cabbage looper), 856 nucleotides. RefSeq lists it as uncharacterized. The record is from RefSeq and is a predicted model, not a curated record. NCBI's taxonomy places the organism in Eukaryota, Metazoa, Arthropoda, Insecta, Lepidoptera, Noctuidae. The transcript has 3 exons.
UCGUGUCGUAAUUGUUCUCGCAUGUUGAGAAGUAGAUCGCUUUAUCAUCGCAUAAACACCGUGAGUUCCGUAGUCCAUGAAGUGGUCAUAGACGUUGUGAUAACUCAUAUAGCUGCCGUGAUUCCACGCGUGAUCGGGCCUUAGGUUGAAUAUUAGCUCGUUGAGGUUAUGUGUAACAUUUAAAUAAGUUCAUGACAUAUGCCGAAAGUCUCUUUUGCGUUUUAUACCAAAAAGGUUUGUCUGACGAUCUGAAAGUUGCAAUAAUAGUCAGAGGUAUUACUGACACUCGAAUAAGGGCUGCUGCGACGAAUGCGAAACUUAAAAUAACAGACUUAGUUGAAUUUUUGUUAGUACCUAUGUGUCAAGAAGGACUUUAUUUGUUGUCAAGUUUUGAGUACUGUCACGAAUGCUGGUUUUUAUUCGGUUAAUUUAAAAAUAUUUCUUUCGUAGAUACUGAAAUAGAUUACUUUGGACGUUUUGUUGAUAAUGGUCAGGAGCGGCCGAGCUCAAGAAAAUUGAGGCGCUGGAGACAGCGUGCCUCAGAAUUGUUUACAGACAAUCAGCGGCGUCAAUACGACUUCACCAAAACCAAAACAACCACGAGAAUACGCUGCUGGCGACUCUGUAGAAGGCUUCGUGGAGUGCAGCAAAGCUGGACUCUGGCAUGCGGGAGCCCUAUGAUUAUUUCUAGUCUGAGAGCGACAGCAGUCUGGUGAUGCUUGAGAUAGUGAAGACUCCAAGCAAGAUGCGGUCGAGGACGCCUCGCUGUCAGGAACGGCCGUGUUAACGAAACCUCCUUUUCAAAGUGAAACCUCCUUCAAGAUCCUUAGUGAAACCUCUUUCGAACCUGGGAUUU